AUUGAACGCUGGCGGCAGGCCUAACACAUGCAAGUCGAGCGGUAGAGAGAAGCUUGCUUCUCUUGAGAGCGGCGGACGGGUGAGUAAUGCCUAGGAUCUGCCUGGUAGUGGGGAUAACGUUCGGAAACGAACGCUAAUACCGCAUACGUCCUACGGGAGAAAGCAGGGGGACCCUUCGGGCCUUGCGCUAUCAGGAUGAGCCUAGGUCGGAUUAGCUAGUUGGUGAGGUAAUGGCUCACCAAGGCGACGAUCCGUAACUGGUCUGAGAGGAUGAUCAGUCACACUGGAACUGG
RNAcentral lists this ribosomal RNA (293 nucleotides) under uncultured bacterium. RNAcentral describes it as "partial 16S ribosomal RNA". It matches the Rfam family "Bacterial small subunit ribosomal RNA", at positions 30 to 322 of the family's 1533-position model. The record is from RNAcentral.